UGGGGGAUAUUGCACAAUGGGCGAAAGCCUGAUGCAGCGACGCCGCGUGGGGGAUGAAGGCUUUCGGGUUGUAAACCUCUUUCGCUAUCGAACAAGGCCCGCUUAGGGUGGGUUGAGGGUAGGUGGAGAAGAAGCGCCGGCUAACUACGUGCCAGCAGCCGCGGUAAUACGUAGGGCGCGAGCGUUGUCCGGAAUUAUUGGGCGUAAAGGGCUUGUAGGCGGCUUGUUGCGCCUGCUGUGAAAACGCGGGGCUUAACUUCGCGCGUGCAGUGGGUACGGGCAGGCUUGAGUGUGGUAGGGGUGACUGGAAUUCCAGGUGUAGCGGUGGAAUGCGCAGAUAUCUGGCGGAACACCGAUGGCGAAGGCAGGUCACUGGGCCAUUACUGACGCUGAGGAGCGAAAGCAUGGGUAGCGAACAGG
Molecule: ribosomal RNA, 420 nt
Filed under: bacterium
Lineage: Bacteria
Description: partial 16S ribosomal RNA
Rfam family: Bacterial small subunit ribosomal RNA
Source: RNAcentral